CACACGCAAUUAUAAUAAGAUUGUCGAUAACUUUAGUUUUUAGAUCGUUUGUCACUUUAGUGUAAAUUUUAUUUCUCAAUGCCUACUAGGACAUUUUGCUGUUACCUCAAUAUACUACACUAUAUGAUGCGUUUCUUUGCCGAAUAGGUUUGGAUAAAAGCUCAAUUAAGUACUAGUAUAUUAGGCCAACAGAGAAGGUUCAUGGUGAAAUAGAAUAAAUACUAAAUAUGCGCUUGCAUGCUGUUUAAAGAAGUUCGCUCAAAGUUUUGAACUUUUGCCAGAUAUUCGGAAUCCUCUGGUUUUAUUUAUGUAGUGCCAUGAAAAAAGUGUGUAUGGUAACCCCUGCUUUUCCUUUUAUAAUUUUUUAGAUAAAGUCUAAACGUCAUUUUUCAAAAGCUUAUCAAAUUCUUUUUUUCUCGAAGUUUUUUUUUAAGGAAAAUAGGUGCCAAUGGUAAAUGUAUGGAAAAUCUAGAGAUAAUUAUUUCCCGCCAAAUUAUAAAUGGCUUAUAUCUCGAAAACAUGCACACCGACCCUUUAAUUUUUUCCCGCUCAUUUAUUUCCUGUAUGUAUAUACUAUCAAUUUAUACAAAUCUUUUGAAAAGCUUGUUAUUUUGAAACAGAGUACGAACAUCCUUUCCCAGGAGAAUUAAAAAACUGGAACGGUUCUAAUAGAUAUCGAUUUAAAUUUUUGUCUAUCAAAAUGUUGACCCUUCACCCUCUAGGAAUCAUAUGGAUAGUUACCAAUCGUUUAUAUUUCAUGCAGACGGUGUUGAAAUAACAAAAAAAGCUGACUCUAUCAAUGCCUAGUGUGUGUGAAAUGGGAUCGGAAUCAGCACAGGGACUUGGAACUAAUUCAAACGAUAACGUAAUUGCAAGCAACACAAAUACAAUACAGGCGGCAACCCGGUUGAAAUAGAACAAAAGAAUCGAAGCUCUGUGUUAGAGAAGGCGAUAAAUGCUUACUGUAUUGUUUACUAUAGUAACACAAUUUUUAAAAGUUCAUAGAAACAAAUAAAAUAAAAAUUUUCUGCUCAAUUACGAAGUACUUUAUUUCAAAAACACCAUUUGCAUAAGUUUCAAUUUAUCUAUUACAAAGUUAAGCAGAACAAUUAGAUAUCAGGUCGACGACAUGGGUAUCAAGUUGGAUGAUUUUUUAUUUUUUUUUACCACCGACGGAGAACAUAUCAAUCUAUUAGUACAGUUAUUUUCGUGUCUGCCCUUUCAAAGAAAAAAUACCAAA
Molecule: long non-coding RNA, 1240 nt
Filed under: Mytilus galloprovincialis (Mediterranean mussel)
Lineage: Eukaryota; Metazoa; Mollusca; Bivalvia; Mytilida; Mytilidae
Source: RNAcentral